GAGAACAGAUUUGUAGAAUCUAUCUGCAUUGAAACUGUUCUGGAAGCUUGUGGUGGUCCAACAACCUUACUAAGACACUUCUGUAUGUUUUGUUUCUCUUCAUACAGUGUAUAUCUUUGCUCUCUGCUCCUUCCCAGGUCUUACUAUUCGCUAUAUGCCCACUAGAGGUCCUCCUACAUACUAGUAUCACUAGUGCGGAUCUUGAUGGUGCUAGUGGGCCGGAUCUUGUGGCCGUCUUUAUACCACUCCCCAGUAACAUCCUCCAAAGAAACCUCACACAUGAAGACAGCAUUCUGGUCCUCCUGAAUGUAAAGGUCCUCCAGAUCUUGCGCUAUCUCCAACUUAUGCUCUGUGAGAGUCAGCCCGGGAGCACUGCAUCAUCUGACAGAACCGCUUCCGGCCCAUGGAGUAGAUCCGGCAGUUCUGCCCCGGCUUCAGCUCCUUCCCGUUCUGAUUCACAGAAGCAAAGGGACAGAGGAAUUCACUCCUCAUCGUCUUACCACGUGACUUCUGCAUCAUCUGCGGAGACAUGGCAAAGCAGCACCACGGGGUCCAGCUCCAUGCUGCUCUUAUGGAGCUCUUCCUCUGGGACCGGACUGAACUCCACAGGACAACCUAAAAAAAACAGGAGGAGGGAGGAAUGGAUGUCAACAGCUGGAACACAAGUAAGUUCCUCACCCAGAUGGACAGCUUUGGGAAACUCCACAUGACCGCUUCGCCCAUACUUGUUGAUGCAACAGACACGGAACCGGUAGUUGCCUUCGCACGGCACACUGUCGCCGCCAACCUCAGCUGAAGUGGCGUUCUCUGAGGUGAAACAUUUCUGCCACUCUUGGGAGCCCACUUCCUGUCUCUCCACGACAAAGAUUGAUCGGGUGGAGGUCUGGCUGUUGGGGGCAGGAACCCAGAACACAGCGUUCUCACCCUCCAGGACCUCCAGUUUCCGGGGAAGUUUGCGAAUAAUAGUACCUAGAUACACUCCAUCAUCAUCUGUCCCAACAUCAUGGAUGGUCAGUCUUCGUUUGGUUCCUUUCUGCUCGAUCCCGUAUUUACUGCUGGGCAUCAGCCGCUGGUCCUCCAGGUACCAGGCAGAUGGAACCGACUCAU
Siniperca chuatsi (mandarin fish) is the source of this 1107-nucleotide long non-coding RNA. RefSeq lists it as uncharacterized. The record is from RefSeq and is a predicted model, not a curated record. Lineage: Eukaryota; Metazoa; Chordata; Actinopteri; Centrarchiformes; Sinipercidae. The transcript has 7 exons.